Long non-coding RNA from Bubalus bubalis (water buffalo), 897 nucleotides. RefSeq lists it as uncharacterized. The transcript has 5 exons. NCBI's taxonomy places the organism in Eukaryota, Metazoa, Chordata, Mammalia, Artiodactyla, Bovidae. The record is from RefSeq and is a predicted model, not a curated record.
UUAUUAGAAGUCCACGCAAUCUCAUGAAGCACCUGCAGGCCAUAAAACCUCACAUGUGUGAGGCCUUGAGGAAAUUAACGGCUCCUCCCUGGGGGUGCAUAUUUUGUGAAGAUGUUUAUUACAGAUGAAGUGCUCCUGGGGUGGAACAUUAACAAGUUGUAGAGUGAUAAAAGGAUUUUUAUCCUUUUUCAGUGACAGAGACCAUUACCGAGAUGAAAGCCCAGAGAAUGCCUUUGGACCACGACUGCGGGAUCUAAUUGAAUUAUAUGAACGCAGUUAAACGCCUGCUUCAGAGAGGCAGGGCUUGCUUUCAAGACUGGAUGCUUCAGGAGUUAAUGGGCUAUUUGAACAAUAUAGGCCGAGAGCCGAACACAGGUCUCAUCUCUCAUCCCUCCUCCACUGUGCGGACCGUCAGCCAGGAAUGCCUCCCUCUAUCUCCCAUGGACACCCCUCCAUCCUGAGUCCUCAAUCCUGCUGGAGUCAAUUUAAAUGCAACCUCCUCCAGUUCCACAUCCCAUGACAUCAUGGGUCACUUGAAAUCAACCACAGUUGGAGUAUUUACACCAGGGAAAUUGGCAAACUCUACAAAUCAGGGACAUGCCCAUCCCAACCAGCAACCUGACUAUCCAUCAGCAUAAAUUCAACCACUCAUCUUGCCCGGCUGACUGACUCCAGGAAAAGAUCCAAGCUCCUUGCCAUCAUCCAAGGCAUCCCCCACCCCCAGCCUGCUGGUGGAGUCUACUGGUUCUAAGCCUCAUCUCCUGCCUCCCUCCUCAAGUUUGCUCUGUUCCCAGCAAUGCCAAACUGUUUGAAGUUAUUGAACAUAUGCUUCUAGAUGGUGUUCUAGUACUAGGACCACAAGAGUGAACAAAGUCCCUAUUCUCUUGAAACUCCCAU